UCGGGGGAAGUGGUCGGGGUUAUGUCUUAAACAGCCAGGGGAAGUGGUCGGGGUUAUGUCUUAAACAGCCAGGGGAAGUGGUCGGGGUUAUGUCUUAAACAGCCAUGGGAAGUGGUCGGGGUUAUGUCUUAAACAGCCAGGGGAAGUGGUCGGGGUUAUGUCUUAAACAGCCAGGGGAAGUGGUCAGGGUUAUGUCUUAAACAGCCAGGGGAAGUGGUCGGGGUUAUGUCUUAAACAGCCAGGGGAAGUGGUCGGGGUUAUGUCUUAAACAGCCAGGGGAAGUGGUCAGGGUUAUGUCUUAAACAGCCAGGGGAAGUGGUCGGGGUUAUGUCUUAAACAGCUAGGGGAAGUGGUCGGGGUUAUGUCUUAAACAGCUAGGGGAGGUGGUCGGGGUUAUGUCUUAAAUAGCAAGGGGAAGUGGUCGGAGUAAUGUCUUAAACAGCUAGGGGAAAUGGUCGGGGUUAUGUCUUAAACAGCUAGGGGAAGUGGUCAGGGUAUGUCUUAAACAGCUAGGGGAAGUGGUCGGGGUAAUGUCUUAAACAGCUAGGGGAAGUGGUCAGGGUAUGUCUUAAACAGCUAGGGGAAGUGGUCGGGGUAAUGUCUUAAACAACGCCUCUGCUAAAAUUGGCCUACUCUCUCCUUCCGCAUCUGCAGUGUGAUCAAGCUGUAGAUCAUAGAGCUGCCUGGCUGGUCAGAGGAAGGGGUGUUACAUCCAAAACAACACCUCUGAUAAAUGUUGUUUUGCCUCUCUUCAAGUGGCUGACUCAUACCCUAUGCACUAUAUUAUGCACUACUGUUGACAGAAGCCGAUAGUGAACACACACCAUACAGUAUGGCACAGGUCAAAAGUACUUCCCUUAUGAUGAGUAAACUCAGGUAUCAUUUAGGACACAGCCACCGACACUUGAGGAGUGUGGGGAAUAGAUGUGCCAUUAGAGACUUGUUCUUCCUGCUAACUGUCUGGCAGACUGGGGGAACGUUAAACAUCCCAAUCUUGAGAUCGCUCCUUGCCUGCAGCUGUUGUUUAGAAGGGAGGGAGUCUUCUGAUUCCCCGGCUAAACAGCGGAGAUAAUGGAUUUAUCCCCUGUUUAUCGGCCUGGACAGGGCUCAGCUCUGCAACAACACAGGAAUUUCCUGGAUAAAAAAGACCAGAGAGGGAGAGAGAGAGAGGGAGAGAAAGUGAGAGUGAGAGAGAAAGAGAGAGAGAAAAAGAGAAAGAGAAAUGGGAGAGGAGAGGAGAUAAAAGACAGGGAGAGAGAGAUACAGAGAAAGAAGAGAGAGAUACAGAGAGAGAAGAGAGAGAUACAGAGAGAGAUACAGAGAGAAGAGAGAGAUACGGAGAGAGAAGAGAGAGAUACAGAGAGAGAUACAGAGAGAGAAGAGAGAGAAGGGAGAGAUACAGAGGGAGAUACAGA
This is a long non-coding RNA of Oncorhynchus keta (chum salmon), 1415 nucleotides long. RefSeq lists it as uncharacterized. The transcript has 3 exons. NCBI's taxonomy places the organism in Eukaryota, Metazoa, Chordata, Actinopteri, Salmoniformes, Salmonidae. The record is from RefSeq and is a predicted model, not a curated record.